This 274-nucleotide ribosomal RNA is filed under the name uncultured bacterium. Its description in RNAcentral is "partial 16S ribosomal RNA". It matches the Rfam family "Bacterial small subunit ribosomal RNA", at positions 523 to 796 of the family's 1533-position model. The record is from RNAcentral.
AGACGUAGGGGGCGAGCGUUAUUCGGAUUUAUUGGGCGUAAAGGGCGCGUAGGCGGCUUGGUAAGUCAGAUGUGAAAGCCCGGGGCUUAACCCCGGAAGUGCAUUUGAAACUAUCAGGCUUGAGUAUGGGAGAGGGAAGUGGAAUUCCUGGUGUAGAGGUGAAAUUCGUAGAUAUCAGGAGGAACACCGGUGGCGAAGGCGACUUCCUGGACAAAUACUGACGCUGAGGCGCGAAGGCGUGGGGAGCAAACAGGAUUAGAAACCCUAGUAGUCC